Molecule: ribosomal RNA, 536 nt
Filed under: Ochrolechia upsaliensis
Lineage: Eukaryota; Fungi; Ascomycota; Lecanoromycetes; Pertusariales; Ochrolechiaceae
Description: eukaryotic LSU rRNA
Rfam family: 5.8S ribosomal RNA (bases 192-345)
Source: RNAcentral
AAGGAUCAUUACCGAGAGAGGGUCCCUUUGGGGCCCGACCCUCCCAUCCCCUGUGUAUGUACCUCUGUUGCUUCGGCGGGCCCGUGGGUCCCUUUGGGGCUCACCACCGGCGUCGGUCGGUCCGCGCCCGCCAGAGGCCCUUAUCAAACCCGAUUGUGCCAGUGAGGUCUGAGUGCAACGUAAUACAGUAAAACUUUCAACAACGGAUCUCUUGGUUCUGGCAUCGAUGAAGAACGCAGCGAAAUGCGAUAAGUAAUGUGAAUUGCAGAAUUCAGUGAAUCAUCGAAUCUUUGAACGCACAUUGCGCCCCUCGGUAUUCCGGGGGGCAUGCCUGUUCGAGCGUCAUUACACCUCUCAAGCUUAGCUUGGUGUUGGCCCCGUCCUCCGCGGGCGGGUCCGAAAGUCAGUGGCGGUGCCACCGGGCUUCAAGCGUAGUACAACCUAUCCCGCUUUGGAAGACCCGGGGGGGCUGGCCAGUCAACACCCGACAUCUCACGGUUGACCUCGGAUCAGGUAGGGAUACCCGCUGAACUUAA